Heterocephalus glaber (naked mole-rat) is the source of this 317-nucleotide long non-coding RNA. RefSeq lists it as uncharacterized. The record is from RefSeq and is a predicted model, not a curated record. NCBI's taxonomy places the organism in Eukaryota, Metazoa, Chordata, Mammalia, Rodentia, Bathyergidae.
UAGAAAUUUUCAGAUGAAGUAAAAGUCAAAAUUAACUGUGUUACAGAAACAAGAAAGUUUGUCCUUGUGAAAGAAAUUUUCAGAUGAAGCAAAAAUCAAAAUUAACUGUAUUAUAGAAACAAGAAAGUUUGUCCUCGUGAAAGUGUAUUCCUUCAGGACCAAGGGAGGAUUCACAAUAUCCCCAAGGCAUGUGAGGCCCUGGGCAGAGGAAGUAGGGCAGGAGCUGACAGGAGGCCAGCCACACAGAUGCAUGCUGGGAGUAUGAGCCACUACCGAGCUGAUGUGCUUCUGGGUCUGCUUGACACGCUUCACUUCAG